UACGGGGGGGGUAAGCGUUGUUCGGAAUUACUGGGCGUAAAGGGCUCGUAGGCGGCCAACUAAGUCAUACGUGAAAUCCCUCAGCUUAACCGGGGAACUGCGUCUGAUACUGGAUGGCUUGAGUUUGGGAGAGGGACGCGGAAUUCCAGGUGUAGCGGUGAAAUGCGUAGAUAUCUGGAGGAACACCGGUGGCGAAGGCGGCAUUCUGGACCGAAACUGACGCUGAGGCGCGAAAGCCAGGGGAGCAAACGGG
This 253-nucleotide ribosomal RNA is filed under the name uncultured bacterium. Its description in RNAcentral is "partial 16S ribosomal RNA". It matches the Rfam family "Bacterial small subunit ribosomal RNA", at positions 524 to 776 of the family's 1533-position model. The record is from RNAcentral.